AUUAAGUGUGUGGGAAAAUUACUGCCAGCUUUCUCCCUUGGGGUCACCUGCCCCACCCUCAGGUCCGAGGAAAUGCAGGUAUGUCUGACGGGAGUGAAGUGGCCAAGGCCCAGAAAGCAGUUCCUGGAGGAGCGGCGCCAACCAUCUUCUCCCGGAUUUUGGACCGGAGCCUCCCAGCUGACAUUCUAUAUGAAGAUCAGCAGGUGGGGGUCCCCUUAGGGCCCAGCCCUCUUAAGAAUGUCACAGGUGCAGUGGCACCUGAUGGCCUGAGGAAGUAACACUGAUCUCUCACCUGUCACCGCUCCCAGUGCCUAGUGUUCCGAGAUGUAGCCCCUCAGGCUCCUGUGCACUUCCUGGUCAUUCCUAGAAAGCCCAUUCCUCGAAUUAGCCAGGCUGAAGAAGACGACCAACAGGUGAGGCGAACAGGGUCAGUGGCUUGUCUGGGUGGAGCAGUGGAUGAAGCUAGUGGUUUGACUCCUAUGGGGAGAGCUACCUCUGCCUCUGCCCUCUCCCCUUAGCUUCUAGGACACUUACUCCUCGUGGCCAAGAAGAUAGCACAGGCGGAGGGUCUGAAAGAUGGGUAUCGACUUGUGGUUAACGAUGGGAAGAUGGGCGCACAAUCUGUGUACCACCUGCACAUUCACGUACUCGGAGGCCGGCAACUGCAGUGGCCACCUGGUUAAACCUGCCAGCUGCCCUGGGACCGCGGGCCUGGAUGCUUGGAUGGAGAACCGGAAAAGGGAUCCUGUGAUGUUAAUAAACGUAUUUCCCCCUCCGA
Molecule: long non-coding RNA, 778 nt
Filed under: Rattus norvegicus (Norway rat)
Lineage: Eukaryota; Metazoa; Chordata; Mammalia; Rodentia; Muridae
Description: long non-coding RNA NONRATT023199
Source: RNAcentral